Molecule: long non-coding RNA, 6891 nt
Organism: Acipenser ruthenus (sterlet)
Lineage: Eukaryota; Metazoa; Chordata; Actinopteri; Acipenseriformes; Acipenseridae
Exons: 4
Source: RefSeq, a predicted model, not a curated record
AAAUAUUGAGGUGUUCUAAAACUUUUGACCGGUAGUGUAUAUCUGUACUUUAUAAAAUGUACAUUGUGUUCUAAUUUGAAUUACUAGUUCUAAGUAUAUUCGAAUGAAACCUGCUGAAUAGUGUUAUGCUAACAUUGAAUUACAUACCACUUUGUAGUUUUAAUAUACUUUAUUAUUACGGAUUCCGGUAUUUUGCGAUAUCACUUUGUAGUUUCUAAGAUUCUACAAUGUUAAAUAAAAUAUCUAAAUUAUGUUCAUAUAGUUUUUCUUUUUAAUUGUCUCAAUCCUAAAAUUGUAGGUGAUGUAAAACUUUUGGGCAUAGCUGUAAUUUUGAAUCAAUUAGGAAACCAAUAUUACAAAGCGUUAUGUCUUUAUCUUCACAUACUCUAGAAGAAAAAAUCAAAUUUUGUGCAAAAAUGUUAUCAGAAAAAACAUCAUGGAUGUAACAUUAUUACAAACCUCAAUUUAAAAUCAUUAAAAAAUAUUUCAAUUUUUCCAAAGAAUUUUAUUAGUAACUGGGUAUGGCACCCAUACAGUCAAUAUCUAACAUGCUUACAAAUAUGUAACUAUUAAAUUGAACAUACAAUUUAAUAUAUGAAAUUCAGGCUACAAUACAUGAAUUUUUUUUGCAUCAAUCUCUUUUUAUUUAUUGGGUUAUUACAACCUAUUUUUUUAAUGAAAUUGAAUACAACAUAUAUAAAACAAAGGACUUAAAAGGAAUUUCUAGUAUAGUACUCUAUACAAGCUUCAGAUAUAGGCCUAUUUCAACUGCUUAAAAACUGAUUCUGGAGACACAAUAUUGUUUACAGAUUGGAAUCCCAAAAGGAAAGAGGUUAGGGUAUCUGGCUGGUAAUGUAUUCAUAAAAGAGCUGUUUGGGGUAAUAGCUGUGUUUGUGUGCUUAAAAUAUUCACAUCGUUAGUAGUACAGUGCUUGCCAUCCACUCUAACUUCACCCACGAGUAAGAGAACUUCAUAUUUCAUAUUCUGAGAUACAUAAGCAGUAAGGCAUGACAGGGUGUGUGAUAUAUAGGGUUACCAUGUGGCUCCAGAUUAACCAGAUGCUGUGAGAGAACGGGAUUUCAAACUUGCCCCUAAAUUGAAAUAAAUGAAGGUGUAAAUGAACCAUCCUUAGCUACAAUUAAGAAUGGUGCUUAAAUACCCGCAUGCGCGUCAAAUAAUUGUAUUAAACUAAGAAUGAAUUGCAGCCAGUCCCUAUCUUUUUUCUGUUUGUUAAAAUUCAAUCGGCCAUAUUAUUCUGCAAAUACAAUCGCAUCAUCAUCUCGUUGCUCUAUCGAUAAAUUAGCUAUUCGUUCAUUAAGAUCUGAUCAGAAGCAGCUGAUCAGUGUGAAUUGUUUGCUGCGCCCAAGCAAUUCCACCACAGCAGAAUUAAUCUCAGCAAAGGUGGAGCUCAUUAAUACGUGAAUUACUUUCAAUUUAGGGGGAAUUUUGAAAUCCCGGUCUGUCUCGAAGCGUCCGGUUAAUCUGGAGCCAUAUGGUAACCCUAUGAUAUACUCUAAUAUCCACACGCCCCGGGUGCGUUAUAAGUCACGAGCCGUGCCUUAUUGUGCUUAUAAAAUGGUUCAACUGACUAAAUAGUAAUAAUAAAAAUAAGACAAAAAACAUAAAAACAUGUUUUAAUUAACAGAAAAUAUUUUUUUAUUAAAUAUACUUCUGCCUCUGACCUAAAAAAUAGUCCCUUAAAAAAAAAAUGCAUUCAUUAAAAAAUUAUUAUUAUUAUUAUUAUUAUUAUUAUUAUUAAUAAACUUUGAACUGAUUCAAAACAAGAAGCACUAUUUAUUUCUAGAUGUUAAAUUGAACACUGCCAUUGAAAUUGCAGCUUUGAAGAUUUACAUGCCCUUUUCUGAGCAGUAGGUGGCGCUGCAGCAAGCUAUUUCGAGCAACGUGGUGUUUGAUUCAUUGUUGUCGUUGUCUGAGGAAGUGCAGCAGGACAAUCACGUAGACCUUCUUUGCCUUCUAUAUCCAGAAGCUGUGCUUCGAUACCAAGACUUCUGAAACGGCUUUACAGAGCUGCUGUAGCUAACUGAGUUUGAGGGGUCCCCAGUGACUUCUACUUGGAGUGCAGGCUAAGAACCUUGGAGUCACCCUGGACCCCUGCCUCUCUUAUUCCCAGCACAUCUCCACUCUGGCACGCACUUGCCGAUUCUUCCUGAGCAACAUCCGAAGAAUCCGACCCUUCCUCACCAACUAUGCUACCCAGCUCCUGGUACUCUCCCGCCUAGACUACUGCAACUCCCUCCUGGCUGGCCUCCCUGUGUCCGCCACCCGUCCGCUCCAGCUCAUCCAGAACUCUGCUGCCCGCCUGGUGUUCUCUCUGCCUCGCUUCACCCACGCUACUCCCCUACUCCGCUCGCUCCACUGGCUCCCGAUCACCGCUCGCAUCCAGUUCAAGACUCUUGUACUAGCCUACAGAUGCCUUGACCAGUCUGCACCCAGCUACCUCCAGACCCUCAUCUCUCCCUACACCCCCACUCGACCUCUCCGCUCUGCCUGCACUAGAAGACUAGCUCUACCACCGCUACGCUCCCCUGCCUCCAAAGCCCGCUCCUUCUCCACCCUUGCUCCGCAGUGGUGGAAUGACCUUCCUACAGAUGUCAGGACUGCCCAGUCCCUGACCACAUUCCGGCGCCUCCUUAAGACUCACCUCUUCAAAGAGCACCUGUAGAACUCCUCUGUUUGUAUCCUGGGACACUAUCACCCUUCAUGUAAAUGUGCUUUAUUUUGCUCUUAUCAGCCCCUAUUUUACUGCAUUUAAUCCUGUACUUCAGAAUACUGUAAUCUGCCAAGUUUUUAACCUGUAGUACUUUGUAUUUAAUCACAUCCUGAUGUAACUAUCACUAUUUAAUCAUAUCCUGAUGUAACUAUCACUAUUACCUGCUGUAUUAUUGAAUUGUGGUUUGUCAAACUUGUACUUUACUUGAACAAAAGUUAUUGUAUUUCUUGCUCUUAUUGUAUUACUUGUAUUGUAACGCUUGAAAUGUUUUUGCUUACGAUUGUAAGUCGCCCUGGAUAAGGGCGUCUGCUAAGAAAUAAAUAAUAAUAAUAAUAAAUAGGUCUUCUGAUUUUCUGUGUUUUACCUCAGCUUUUCUACUCUCCUUAAAAAAAUGAAAUUGAUACCUGUUAAGCCAUUUGUGUAUCUCAAUCACAACUGAGAAACGCGUUAAUAGUAAAGUUGAUUUGAUUUACAGGUUUUUUCUGUGAAACAACUAAAUGGACUUUUAAAUUGUAAGUCUUACUUUUUCAUUGAAAUGCAGAAGCGACUCAUCUUUAUUCAUGUAAAUACAGUUACUUAUAAUGAUUGUAAUAGUGUGUCCAGCUAAACGCUUCAUUUUUCAUUCUAGCUUUAGUAAAGAUGAGUCGCUUAUUAACAUCUGGCAAUCUCUUUUGUACGUUCUGCUUCUAAAUAAAGGCUUGGCCUAUUUAAAAGCCCAUUGAGUUGUUUGACAAUACCUAGUUAUGUUCACACUGACUUUAUUCCAAGUACAGUAUCACGUUAAUUCAAAGAAAGACUUGUGACAUUUGCAGGAUCAAUUUAAAAAAAAAAAAAAGCAAUUUACUAAUAGCAGUAGUUUGUACUUGUCUGUCUGACAGCAGUAGGAAAAAAGAAGACCAAAAAAUAAACAUAAAAUACAAGCAAUCUUCUCUCUCAGUCCCAGAAUAGCAGCUGCAAACAAAACCGGCAUCUCCCGCAGGUUAGUCAGGCAUCCUCAUAUGCGGAAUAGCUGCAAUUUAUUAGGGGGUGAACUAUGCAUCAACAACCGCAGAGUCACAUAUAAUAGGACUUCAGUUUUACAUCUCGUCCGAACGACACAAGGAGGUUAAGUGACUUGCUCAGUGUCACACACAGUAAGUCAGUGGCUGAGCUGGGAUUUGAACCAGGAACCUCCUGGUAUCAAGCCCUUUUCUUUAACCUUUGGACCAUCAAUCCUCUAUGAAUGUAAUGGACUAUCCUCUAUUUUUUUCCAGGAACUCCAAAAAAUACUUUUUUACUUCUUAUUUUUGAUUCUUCUUGAAUCACCUUUGCAUAAUAGUAGUGCAAUAAAAUGUCUAGUCUCCUAGUAAUAUUAAAUAGUAUGAGUUUUACUUACCAGAGGAUUGUGUACAGUAGCUGUUGCAGUUUUGGACACAGAGGAGUCUUGUUACUGUAAAGUUGUAAGCUCCUGGUAGGGCAGAGACCCAAUUCAAAUAUAUUGUCAAACAAGGAAAUGACCUUGUGGGUGGGAACCCAAGCUAACCUGAUUAUUUCAGAUAACUAAACCACAUUUACUUGUGUACAGUCAAAAAAGAGCAUAACCUCAGAUCCAAAAUGAGUCUUAACAACUCGCCAAGGCUGAAUUAAAUAUAUGGCUGUGUAGAAGCCCAUGGUUCUCCAUCCUGUGUGAUUUUUUUUUUUUUUUUUUUUUGGAUCAAAUGUUUUUUAUUAGGGAGUACAAUAAACACAGUACAGUAAUGUAGUAUAGAUAGCUGAUGGUCUGUAUGAAGUUAAGGAAUAUAGGCGUAUGAGAGGGCCAUUUUUAAGUUGACAGUUUGUGUGUUUUUCCAUAGCACGCCAGAUUGAUAUUAACGAGUAAUUAUUGGACUGAACUUUAAUUUGCAGUGCCUAAUAGAGAUAUUUAAGUAAAUCAAGUCUUGUAAUCUAGUCUUGUAGUCACCAAUAGAGAUGUUGGGAUUGAACCAAAUAGUGAGCGGGCGCAACACAAAUGACCAAAAAUACAAUUUGAAAUUUGGAAGGGAUAAACCUCCUGAUACUUUUUCACGUUGCAGAGUAGAAAGUUCGGUACAGGGUCUUUUUCCUCUCCAAAUAAAUUUGGAAGUCAGGGAAUGAAGUUUGUCCCAAUAUCCACUUGGGGGAGAUAAAGAGAGCAUAGAGCUGAAAAAGCUAACCUGUGGGAGCACAUUUGUUUUAAUUAUAGCGAUGCGGGCCUGGAAUUAAUUCGUGAAGUGUGACCAGUUGUCCAGAUCUGAUUUUACCUGAGCGAAAAUUUUGUUGAAAUUAGUAGAUACAGUAGAGUGCAGAGAGGGGUAAAUAUCAACGGAAAGAUAUCUGAAGUGUCUGACUACUGGAAUAUCUGAGGGAAGGGUAUCCUGAAAGAGUGUCCAAGAAAUCUCUUUGGAGUGCUUCAGAGUGUGGAAUUUCUCUUUAGUUUUCGACCUUAAACGGUUUGAAAAUGAAAGUCGUGGGUUUCUCACUGAUUGAAAACACUUGGUAAUGUUUUACAAGAUCUUCAAUCUGACAGUGAGGACGAAAUGGAAAACGCUCUGAGAAUCCUGCUCUGAAGCUGGAGCGGUCAGAGUGUGCCCCAAGCGCUCCGAAAUUGAUCUCUGAGUUUUCCGAACGACAACACAGAGCACUCCAGGAGUUUACGAACGGUCAGCGUGCGCUCUGACACUCCUGCGAUUCAGUUUACAAAAGCACCCUUAAUUAUACCCCUUUCACACACAAAGGCCGCUACUGAGCCUUCUGACGUUUAAAAAAUUCCUUAAAAUACCCAUUCACACAGCACAAAAUUGCACAAUAUAUGCCAGUAUAAUACUGUUAUAACCCUUUCACAUAGCCAAAUGGAUCAUGUGAGUACAACUUUCAAACCUUAAUUAAUUAUUUAGUAGAUCUCUUUCUAUGACACAUUUGCAACUAUUCCUUAAAUCUGCAAUAAUGUGCCAGUUAUUGUUAGUACCAUUAUAAACAGGUAACCUUUUUUUAUUUAUUCAUUUAAUUAAUUUAUUAAAUUUAACUAAAGUAAAUACAAGCUGUCAAAUAAUACACAUGCCAACUAAUGUAUACUAUAACUCCAAGUUAGAACUGGGUCAGUAUUUUGGCAAAUCUAUAAACAGUAAUAAAAAUAUGCCUUGGUUCAAUAACCGGGCAGUUUUAAAAGUAUUGGAUUACCAAAACAAAUAAUAAACCCAAAAUAUUUAAUUCAGAGUACACUACACCAUAAACACUUUAACCUCCUAAUACUUGGGACAAAAAUACCAGUCAUUUUAUUGUAAACAAAAUCAGAAAUGUAGUUAAAAUUCACAAGCUUAAUACUAAUAGAGACCAAUUGUAAUUUGAAUACCCCUACUGUAAGAAAAACACUAAUAUGUAAAGGUAGUAAAAAUAAGGUCUAGUUUAUUGUAGUAAUAGAAUACAAAUAGAGUAGCUUGUCUCAGUAGGAUGUGCAUCUGAGCUCCGGACCCUGGGCUGCGUCAUCCUUUAUACAUAAAAGAGUUUCAUCCCUCAAGCACAAGACAUGCACAGCAUUUGAAUACAAACAAUUAAUUUUUUUAUUAAGCAGAUAAUAUGCCGUGAGAAUAGCAGACAGGAAGACAUGGCUCCAGUUGUUUUCGUCCUUGAACAAUAUGUUUUCACUGGUGUUAUGGGUUACUGUGAGAUCCCAUGCCCCUGGCAGUGAGCUCAGAAUAGACAUUAUCACAAACUGCACUCACCCCCGACACACAAGAAUAAGAAAAGGCUUAAAUUUAAACAAAAAUCUGCCACUUUUAUGGGUUUUUAUAUAAACCCUUUAUUACAGUAUAAAAUAAUCUUACACUACUAAAAUGCAAAAGGCUGUUUCACAAACACACGCUAACUACCCCAGCACCACAAAAAAAUCUAUCUUACCUGUGUAAUACUUGAUCCUUUCACCCACUGAGAGAAUCCAGAACACUUCUUAAAAAUACAUUAAAACAAUGCAGCUCUGUCCUAAACCUCCUCACAUCUGGUAAUAUUGGUUUGUUUGUGCCCAUUUUCAAAAUCCAGAUGCUCUGGUCUGGCCUGUCAUAUUUUGGUUUUUAUUCAUUUAUUCUUUCAAAGAGCAAAACCGUUUUUAACCAAACUAACACUAAAAUAUAAUGUAUAAAGCGUCUGUAAGCGGCUCUAAAUGACUUCAA